This is a long non-coding RNA of Pogoniulus pusillus (Red-fronted tinkerbird), 1642 nucleotides long. RefSeq lists it as uncharacterized. The record is from RefSeq and is a predicted model, not a curated record. NCBI's taxonomy places the organism in Eukaryota, Metazoa, Chordata, Aves, Piciformes, Lybiidae. The transcript has 4 exons.
CAGCUCCUUACAGUGGUACCAGACGGGAAAGUCACCACACAAAGCUGCAAUGUGGUGUUGCCAGGAACCCACAGCCACCCAGGCCUUAGAUGGAGAGGAUGUGGGCACACCAAUCACCCAGCAUCAGGCAGCAUUUACUGGUGCUGCACACAGACAGAGACAUGUUGGUCACACAUACACAAGAGCUCAGAGAUGGGCCCAUGGUAAAGUGUACAAUUUAAACCCCAUCCACUUACAUUCUUGGAAACAUUCUCUCCCAGGUCAAACCCAGAAAAAUGUUCAUUCCAAAUACCAUCGAGAGGCACAAGGAAUUGCAUCACUCUCCUGUGGCUCCAGGGCUGCAGUGUGGCCAGACAAAGAAGAAGGCAUGAGAAGGACAGGAUGCAAAGCUGCAACCCUAAUUGUGACCUUGGAGGACACUUGAGGGUCCUUGGGCUCAAGCAGGAGGGUCACAAUUCUGCACCACAAUUCUCCUCAGCUACUAGCAGAUCACCCAUAGAGACAGUGAUGGUCCUGCUCUGGCAGGGAGGUGGGACUUGAUCUCUUUGGGUCCCUUCUAAUCCCCAACAUCCUGUGAUCCUGUGAAACACAGUGAAACUGGUGCCAAGGCUUCUCACUCUUCCUGAACCAGCAGACCUGAGCACCACUUUGUAUGACCAUGACCACCAGUGUCCAGCUAUCUGCACAGCAGCACACCAGCACUGGUGACAUGGUGAGAAGAAACUGUGCAUUUGCACACUCACGCAGUCACAGCUGCCACCUGUGGACAUGAUCUGGGGUUUCUGCUGAAGAUAAGCCAUGUAUCUUUCAGAAGGUGGGGCCUUCUUUUGGAACAACCAUGAGCCUUCUAUUUUUUUCACCUUUUCAAAGCCUGAACAAAAGAGGGGGGUCACACACUCUUGCCCCUACCUCUGCUUUCCUUAAUGAUGAGGAGCAGCUCCCUCGCCCUCUGUUAAACACUUCGCCUGAAUUCUCAGUGGCAACACAAGAGCCGAAUGGUUCAGCUGCAAGGAUUAAGGAGGUUUGGACAUACACCACAAGACACAUGGUCGAGGAGGAUGAAGAGAGAGGAUUUUUCAGGUGGUUGGUAUGCAGUCACUGGAUUCGACACUUCAAACUACACACAAGAAGCCUCGAUCAAGGCUCACAAGUUCAGCACCUAGACACAGACUGAAGCACAGCACUUGUAAGACCACCAAGAAGUGAGUUACCAUGCCUAUGGUGGGGAAAAAGGCUGGAUUACGGCCAACUGAGUAGUGCUAAUGAGAGGACAAAGGGCCCUCUUCAAUAUCCCCUCUGCCUGUGGUACCAUCAGCACAAAGGGGCUUACCAGAAGUAGGAGCAGGAGAACUCCAGUUAGACAUGUGUCCUUACAGAGUGGUUUGUUGACUCAGUCCUUGUGCUAAGACUGUGCCACAUAUUUUCCAGAAGGAGAUCUGGGGAUACUGCAGGUUGACCUCCGUGCUCUGAUUAGCACCCAGAUGCUCAGUAGUGCUUUCACAAAUACAAAUCAUUUUCUAAACCCUGCUGAAAUAAGAAAUAUCAACCUAAAAACCAACCAAAGCAACCGAAGCUCUUCAGGGACUUCCACACUAACUCUCAUGCCCUUCUGUGCUGCUUAGGCUCACUUUUCCUUCAGUGA